GAUGAACGCUAGCGGCAGGCUUAACACAUGCAAGUCGUGGGGCAGCGCGGACUUCGGUCUGGCGGCGACCGGCAAACGGGUGCGGAACACGUACGCAACCUCCCUCAGAGCGGGAAUAGCCUCUCGAAAGAGAGAUUAAUACCCCAUAGUAUCUUGAAGACACAUGUCUAUGAGAUUAAAGCUUCGGCACUUUGAGAUGGGCGUGCGGCUGAUUAGGUAGUUGGUAGGGUAACGGCCUACCAAGCCGACGAUCAGUAGCUGAUGUGAGAGCAUGAUCAGCCACACGGGCACUGAGACACGGGCCCGACUCCUACGGGAGGCAGCAGUGGGGAAUAUUGGUCAAUGGAGGAAACUCUGAACCAGCCAUGCCGCGUGAGGAUGAAGGUCCU
This 389-nucleotide ribosomal RNA is filed under the name uncultured bacterium. RNAcentral describes it as "bacterial SSU rRNA". It matches the Rfam family "Bacterial small subunit ribosomal RNA", at positions 28 to 418 of the family's 1533-position model. The record is from RNAcentral.